AAAUGAAUUGACGGGGGCCCGCACAAGCAGCGGAGCAUGUGGAUUAAUUCGACGCAACGCGAAGAACCUUACCAGGUCUUGACAUCCAGGUAAACUUGCAGAGAUGCAAGGUGUGCUUGCACAAUCUGAGACAGGUGGUGCAUGGUUGUCGUCAGCUCGUGUCGUGAGAUGUUGGGUUAAGUCCCGCAACGAGCGCAACCCUUGCCGAUAGUUACUAACGAGUAAUGUCGAGGACUCUAUUGGGACUGCCGGGGACAACUCGGAGGAAGGUGGGGACGACGUCAAAUCAUCAUGCCCCUUAUGACCUGGGCUUCACACGUGCUACAAUGGCCGAAACAAAGAGGAGCGAAUACGCAAGUAGGAGCAGAUCUCAAAAAAUCGGUCUCAGUUCGGAUUGUGGGCUGCAACCCGCCCACAUGAAGUCGGAGUUGCUAGUAAUCGCGGAUCAGCAUGCCGCGGUGAAUGCGUUCCCGGGCCUUGUACACACCGCCCGU
This 494-nucleotide ribosomal RNA is filed under the name uncultured bacterium. RNAcentral's name for it is "bacterial SSU rRNA". It matches the Rfam family "Bacterial small subunit ribosomal RNA", at positions 903 to 1397 of the family's 1533-position model. The record is from RNAcentral.